Orcinus orca (killer whale) is the source of this 560-nucleotide long non-coding RNA. RefSeq lists it as uncharacterized. The record is from RefSeq and is a predicted model, not a curated record. NCBI's taxonomy places the organism in Eukaryota, Metazoa, Chordata, Mammalia, Artiodactyla, Delphinidae. The transcript has 4 exons.
GAGGCAGGGGCACCGCUGGACGCGGGCCAUGCGCCCGAAAACCCACCGCCGCCGGGGUCCCGGUCCACCACCGCCACAGCCCUCAGAGCCCCCGCCCCUGGGGUCCCAGCAUGGCCCCAAGGUCGGGGAUCCGGCCCCCGCCCCCUCGGGUUCCAGCACAGCCCGGAAGUCGGGGAUCCGGCCCCCGCCCCCUGGGGUUCCACCACAGCCCGGAGGUCGGGGAUCCAGCCCCCGCCCCCUGGGGUCCCGGCACAGCCCGGAGGUCGGGGGUCCCGCCCCGCCCCCUGGGGUCCCAGCACAGCCCGGAGGUCGGGGGUCUGGCCCCCGCCCCCUGGGGUCCCGGCAUGGCCCCAAGGUCGGGGAUCCGGCCCCCGCCCCCUGGGGUUCCAGCACAGCCCGGAGGUCGGGGAUCCGGCCCCCGCCCCCUGGGGUUCCAGCACAGCCCGGAGGUCGGGGGUCUGGCCCCCGCCCCCUGGGGUCCCGGCAUGGCCCCGAGGUCGGGGGUCUGAGCUCACACCGACUGUGCCUGUCUGACGCUGGGAAAUUUCUCUGGGCCCAUG